Molecule: ribosomal RNA, 495 nt
Filed under: Metschnikowia sp. (in: budding yeasts & allies)
Lineage: Eukaryota; Fungi; Ascomycota; Pichiomycetes; Serinales; Metschnikowiaceae
Description: Metschnikowia sp. (in: Fungi) partial large subunit ribosomal RNA
Rfam family: Eukaryotic large subunit ribosomal RNA
Source: RNAcentral
AUGCCUCAGUACGGCGAGUGAAGCGGCAAAAGCUCAAAUUUGAAAUCCCCCGGGAAUUGUAAUUUGAAGAGAUUUGGGUCCGGCCGGCAGGGGUUAAGUCCACUGGAAAGUGGCGCCACAGAGGGUGACAGCCCCGUGAACCCCUUUAACGCCCUCAUCCCAGAUCUCCAAGAGUCGAGUUGUUUGGGAAUGCAGCUCUAAGUGGGUGGUAAAUUCCAUCUAAAGCUAAAUACCGGCGAGAGACCGAUAGCGAACAAGUACAGUGAUGGAAAGAUGAAAAGCACUUUGAAAAGAGAGUGAAAAAGUACGUGAAAUUGUUGAAAGGGAAGGGCUUGCAAGCAGACACUUAACUGGGCCAGCAUCGGGGCGGCGGGAAACAAAACCACCGGGGAAUGUACCUUUCGAGGAUUAUAACCCCGGUCUCUAUUUCCAUGUUGCCCCGAGGCCUGCAAUCUAAGGAUGCUGGCGUAAUGGUUGCAAGUCGCCCGUCUUGAA